AACCUGGUUGAUCCUGCCAGUAGUCAUAUGCUUGUCUCAAAGACUAAGCCAUGCAUGUCUAAGUAUAAGUAUUAUACAGCGAAACUGCGAAUGGCUCAUUAAAACAGUUAUAGUUUAUUUGAUAAUCGAAUUUACAUGGAUAACCGUGGUAAUUCUAGAGCUAAUACAUGCUGGUGUGCCCGACUUUUUGGAAGGGCGGUAUUUAUUAGAUAACAAGCCAAUAUUCCUCUGGUCUAUUGUGGUGACUCAUAAUAACUGAUCGAAUCGCAAGGCCUAUGGCCGCGGUAAGUCAUUCAAGUUUCUGCCCCAUCAGCUUUCGAUGGUAGUGUAUUGGACUACCAUGGCGUUUACGGGUAACGGAGGAUUAGGGUUCGAUUCCGGAGAGGGAGCCUGAGAAACGGCUACCACAUCUAAGGAAGGCAGCAGGCGCGUAAAUUACCCAAUCCUGACUCAGGGAGGUAGUGACAAGAAAUAACGGACCGGAGCCUCAUGGCUUCCGGGAUUGCAAUGAGCCGAAUUUACACCCCUUAGCGAAGAUCGAUUGGAGGGCAAGUCUGGUGCCAGCAGCCGCGGUAAUUCCAGCUCCAAUAGC
Molecule: ribosomal RNA, 592 nt
Filed under: uncultured marine eukaryote
Lineage: Eukaryota
Description: SSU rRNA
Rfam family: Eukaryotic small subunit ribosomal RNA
Source: RNAcentral